UACGGAGGGCGCAAGCGUUGUUCGGAAUCACUGGGCGUAAAGCGCGUGUAGGCGGCUUGGUAAGUCGGGUGUGAAAGCCCGGGGCCUAACCCCGGAACUGCACUCGAAACUGCCUCGCUCGAGUCCCGGAGAGGAUGGUGGAAUUCCCGGUGUAGUGGUGAAAUACGUAGAUAUCGGGAGGAGCACCAGCGGCGAAGGCGGCCAUCUGGACGGUGACUGACGCUGAGACGCGAAAGCGUGGGGAGCAAACAGG
RNAcentral lists this ribosomal RNA (253 nucleotides) under uncultured bacterium. RNAcentral describes it as "partial 16S ribosomal RNA". It matches the Rfam family "Bacterial small subunit ribosomal RNA", at positions 524 to 776 of the family's 1533-position model. The record is from RNAcentral.